CUCCAAUGAUGAUCCAGCCAUGCUAAUACUGAUGCACCAGGUAGACACAGUUUGUCUGCCUGGGUGCAAGUGAGUUCAACUCACCUUCUCACACUGAUGUUAUCAGUGUGUGCUGAGGAGA
This is a small nucleolar RNA of Dicentrarchus labrax (European seabass), 121 nucleotides long. The record is from Ensembl. Lineage: Eukaryota; Metazoa; Chordata; Actinopteri; Moronidae.